RNAcentral lists this ribosomal RNA (382 nucleotides) under uncultured eukaryote. RNAcentral describes it as "partial 18S ribosomal RNA". It matches the Rfam family "Eukaryotic small subunit ribosomal RNA", at positions 592 to 976 of the family's 1831-position model. The record is from RNAcentral.
UGUAAGCGUAUACCAAAGUUGUUGCAGUUAAAACGCUCGUAGUCGGAAUUUGGCAGUUCCGGAUGUGUGCACGUCGUGUGCGCACUUCGCGGGGAUUGCUUUUGUGGUCUUGCGUAGGAUGAGGCACUUUUAUUAGUGAACGUCCUCACGCAACCACUUUUUACUGUGAGAAAAUCAGAGUGCUCGAAGCAGGCAUUUGCCGUGAAUGUAUUAGCAUGGAAUAAUAGAAUAGGACUUGGUUCUAUUUUGUUGGUUUGUUGGGACUGAGUAAUGAUUAAGAGGGACAGUUGGGGGCAUUUGUAUUUCGGUGCUAGAGGUGAAAUUCUUAGAUUACCGAAAGACAAACUGCUGCGAAAGCGUCUGCCAAGGAUGUUUUCAUUGA